GACGAACGCUGGCGGCGUGCCUAAUACAUGCAAGUUGAGCGCUGAAGGUUGGUACUUGUACCAACUGGAUGAGCAGCGAACGGGUGAGUAACGCGUGGGGAAUCUGCCUUUGAGCGGGGGACAACAUUGGGAAACGAAUGCUAAUACCGCAUAAAAACUUUAAACACAAGUUUUAAGUUUGAAAGAUGCAAUUGCAUCACUCAAAGAUGAUCCCGCGUUGUAUUAGCUAGUUGGUGAGGUAAAGGCUCACCAAGGCGAUGAUACAUAGCCGACCUGAGAGGGUGAUCGGCCACAUUGGGACUGAGACACGGCCCAAACUCCUACGGGAGGCAGCAGUAGGGGAUCUUCGGCAAUGGACGAAAGUCUGACCGAGCAACGCCGCGUGAGUGAAGAAGGUUUUCGGAUCGUAAAACUCUGUUGGUAGAGAAGAACGUUGGUGAGAGUGGAAAGCUCAUCAAGUGACGGUAACUACCCAGAAAGGGACGGCUAACUACGUG
This 497-nucleotide ribosomal RNA is filed under the name uncultured bacterium. RNAcentral describes it as "partial 16S ribosomal RNA". It matches the Rfam family "Bacterial small subunit ribosomal RNA", at positions 28 to 507 of the family's 1533-position model. The record is from RNAcentral.